This 432-nucleotide ribosomal RNA is filed under the name uncultured bacterium. RNAcentral's name for it is "partial 16S ribosomal RNA". It matches the Rfam family "Bacterial small subunit ribosomal RNA", at positions 29 to 506 of the family's 1533-position model. The record is from RNAcentral.
AACGAACGCUGGCGGCAUGCCUAACACAUGCAAGUCGAACGAGACCUUCGGGUCUAGUGGCGCACGGGUGCGUAACGCGUGGGAACCUGCCCUUAGGUUCGGAAUAACUCCCCGACAGGGGUGCUAAUACCGGAUAAUGUCUUCGGACCAAAGAUUUAUCGCCUUUGGAUGGGCCCGCGUUGGAUUAGCUAGUUGGUAGGGUAAAAGCCUACCAAGGCGACGAUCCAUAGCUGGUCUGAGAGGAUGAUCAGCAACACUGGGACUGAGACACGGCCCAGACUCCUACGGGAGGCAGCAGGGGGGAAGAUUGGACAAUGGGCGAAAGCCUGAUCCAGCAGUGCCGCGUGAGUGAUGAAGGCCUUAGGGUGGUAAAGCUCUUUUACCCGGGAUGAUAAUGACAGUACCGGGAGAAUAAGCUCCGGCUAACUCCGU